This 1385-nucleotide long non-coding RNA is filed under the name Panthera leo (lion). RNAcentral describes it as "lncRNA (ENSPLOG00000020080.1)". Lineage: Eukaryota; Metazoa; Chordata; Mammalia; Carnivora; Felidae. The record is from RNAcentral.
CCGUAUCCUCUGCCUGAGCAUAAGCCCUGCUCCGUGCUUGGCACCUUCAGUGUUUCUGGAGCAGACGGGUCCUUCCGGCGUCAGAGGCUGGACGCUGUGGGUGGCGCCUUGGCCAUGCUGCCUGUCUGCGGACACCACGGAGCGUCUGUGACUGGUGUUGACACGACGCAGUCAGGGCACCUUCGUGGUUACCUGGUGCUCUGGCUUGGAGAACACCUGUGCCUUCAAAGCCACUGGACUCAGAGCGGGUUUCUGGGGGGAACUUGAGAGGGUAAGGCUGCUUUGAGAUCAGUGCCCCAGCCAGGUGGCAAUGCCAGGGGUGGGGGGAGGAGCCAUCUGACCGCUGUGGCCACCCUGCCUUUGCCCACUGGGGUGUGGGUGUGCCUGGGGCUCCCCGGACCCCAGAGCUCCCUCCUGCCCGUACCCACCUCCGGUGGACGGCGUCCUUGUGGCCGGGGAGUGCUUGCGCUUUCUGGAGGCCUGUCGCCACACAGUGAGUGCGGGGGCCACACGCGUCUCAGAGAGAAGCCUGCUGCUUGUCCGUGGCCCCACGUGCUCCCCACGUUGGCUGGUCCCUCCAGCUGUGCAGGGUGGGGCCCACCGGCCUUCGUGGCCACCUUGGAACUUAACGGGGUAGUCCUGUGCUGGAGGCACAGAGCAGGGGCAGCGUGGACUCUGGCGCUUAGUAGCUGGUGGCUUUUGAGCCCCAGCCCCCACCCCCCCCAGAGCAGGGUUUCCCGCGGCUUUUGUGAAGCUCAUGCUGGGAAUGAUGUCAGUGGCGGGGGGCACAUCUGUUGUGGGCAGUGUCUGGUGGCAGGACAGUGGGUCCACAUCUGUCAGGUCCCAUCCAGGGUCUCAGGGGAUGGGGGAACCCCCCCCCCCCGCCCCUGGGUUCCUCUGGACUCUGCAGGAAGUGGGGAGAGCUGGUGUCUCCUACAGCCGCUCUCUGUUGGAGCAUUCUGGGUGCCUGGCCAGGUCAGCCCCAGGCCUGAGAUGGGCCUCCACGAGCCUGGCCCGGAGCCCCGGGUCCUGGCCGAGGACGGCCGAGCUGCCCGCGCCCUGCCUGAGGCCUUGUCCCAGCCGUGCCGGCUGGCUGAGCGGGACUGCCGCGGGCACUGGACAGGAUGGAGGCUGGGCUGGGACAGAGGCCGCAGGGACAAAGCGGGGAUUGUGUUGGGCCCCACCCUGAGAGGUGGCCCCGGCCUUGCUCUGCAGUCUCUGAGGGGCCAGUGUUCUGGAGCUGGGCAGCAGCGCCCCCCCUCAGCCCCCAGAGCAGUGCUCCCAGAGGCCCCAGGGCUUAAGGGAGCAGAGCUUUUCUUCCAGGGUGGUUUCCUUGCUGGAACCUGGGCUGACAGGGCCUCGGGUGGACUCUGAGGGUCACAAAG